GACAGCAGCCAUAUCACUCUGCAAGUCACAACUGGCAACCCACUGAGGUGUGAGCCUGGUCAGUACCUGGAUGGGAGACCUCCUGGGAAAAACUAAGGUUGCUGCUGGAA
Molecule: ribosomal RNA, 110 nt
Filed under: Lepisosteus oculatus (spotted gar)
Lineage: Eukaryota; Metazoa; Chordata; Actinopteri; Semionotiformes; Lepisosteidae
Source: RNAcentral